CCAACAUUGCUGCGGGCAAAUGAAGUGAAUGUGCGUAUCAAUGCCACCGGCCGUGACGAUCUUGCCUUCGCCGGAAAUCGCUUCCGUCCCUGGGCCGAUUUCCAUGCCUGGCGUCACACCCGCCAUGAGAUCAGAGUUGCCCGCCUUGCCGAUCCCGACGAUCCGGCCGUCCUUGAUGCCGAUGUCGGCCUUGAUGACACCGGUGUAGUCAAGGAUGAGCGCGUUCGUGAUCACGCAGUCGAGCUGCCCGCUGGUGCUGGUCGCGCGCGCGGACUGCCCCAUGCCGUCACGAAUGG
RNAcentral lists this small RNA (296 nucleotides) under Candidatus Nitrospira nitrificans. RNAcentral's name for it is "5' ureB small RNA". It matches the Rfam family "5' ureB small RNA". The record is from Rfam by way of RNAcentral. Lineage: Bacteria; Pseudomonadati; Nitrospirota; Nitrospiria; Nitrospirales; Nitrospiraceae.